RNAcentral lists this long non-coding RNA (4959 nucleotides) under Daucus carota (carrot). RNAcentral's name for it is "long non-coding RNA (DCAR_LNC001159)". The record is from RNAcentral. Lineage: Eukaryota; Viridiplantae; Streptophyta; Magnoliopsida; Apiales; Apiaceae.
AAAUAAUAUACAAAAUUUGGGAAGUGAAUAUGAGAACACUGGAGAACCGCAACACGUGCAGGCAUUAUUCCAUAAUGUAGAGUUAAACAGACAUCAUCUUCCAGUGGUGGAUCUUGGAGCAGGUCUAGUUAUCUCUCUAUCUGAGCAUACACAAAAUGGUAAGGGACAGGUUGAGGUUGAGGAUAUCCAGAUAAAGAGUGACUUGAUACAUAUACAUAGUUACCUGGAUAUGAUAGAAGAUAGUGACUUGAAUGGUGAUUGCUCUCACAAUGACAAUACUAAUAGCAGCAAGGGAUGUGUUUUUUCCAUCGAAAUAAAGGUACCUGCACAAUUUUAUUAAGUAGCAGCAGCUUAGAUUAGAAUAUACAUCUACAUGACUUUUCCUGAGAAUAUGCGACCAUAGAAUGAGUAACGACCAGAGAUAUUGUGGCAUAAAACUAACUAUAGAGCACAAAACUAGUAUAAUUCUCUCCCUUCGACAAGAAUUUCAUAAAACUAACUACAUGAAAUAUAUGAUUAAGAAACAUUAUUGGAGUUCUCAAAAAUGUAAACCAAGUGGUUUAGAUUCCAAUCUUAAAUAACAAGCCAAACAAAUUCUAAUGUUAAAUUAGUGAGCAACAAAACAAAGUGCACAGAAGAGACACUACUGACUCAUAAUGAAGUGCAUGGACCACAGUAGCGCAGGCCUGUAAUCAUACUAUUUAACUUAAUUACUGGCAAGAUUCUAACAAGAAAAAGCCAGAAUUAUAAUUUUACAUCAUAAUUACAAGAGAAAUACUGGCAAGUCUUAAUUUUACAUCAUAAUUACAAGAGAAACACAACAAGUCCUGUUUUAGAAGUCCUGUUAAGGCCUAUGCUCUUAACCAAAUAUAUCUUUUUAAUUCUCAAAGAUCCUUGCAAUUAAACCCUGAUCAUAUGUGACAGUAAUGUUACAAUUCAUUUUAACCGAAAGAGACAGAGUCAUAAAUAGAAUGAUUGGUAUUGUUAUAGAACUACUGCUAACACCUUGAUAUUUUAGAAGACUUAAAAACAUAACAUAAUAACAGAGUUCUUUCAAUGUGUGGUUACUUACUUGAAAGAGCUUUACACUUUGAUGAACCAGCUUCUAGGCUCUAGCUAAGCAGCUCUGCUUAUUAAAGACAGACGACAUAUUAAAGAGUGUUAGAAUUUACAAGACAGUGACAGAAGAGAUGAAAAAGAAGAACAGUAGUACACAUACAAUUUGAUAAUUUCUUUAAAGUAAGACUUGCAUUAUCAACAAAUUGACGAGACGCAACCAACAAGACAAAUAUACACAUGUGUGUUCGUGAUCCAGCAUCGCUUUCAGACUAUAAUUUGCAGGCACAUCAGCAAAAAAAACAACAUACUAUGGCUUUUCAGACUGACCAAAAAUUACACCAAUAAGACUUAAAACAAUAUUAGCUAGCAAUUGAUUUACAAACGACGACUCGAAGAGACAAUAUCGUAAUGGAAUUAAGACUUAAAACAAUAUCGUGUUCAGAAAAUCAGACCUAAUAAACCAUAGAUCCCCAUGUAUAUACACCAAAGAGACACAAACUUAUGUUUCCAAAAUAAACUACACCCCAGCCCAAACUUACAGCGUGAAAUUGUUUUCGUUUUUGUUUUUAAUUGUAAGAACCGACAAUAUUUCCAAAAUAAACUACACCCCAGCCGACAGUCUCAAAGGAAGCAAGCACAGCAUACAAAUGUACAGCUAGGCAUCCAUUGGCCAACCUGUUAAAAUGGAACAGCUAAGCAGCCAAGGCCAAGCUGUAAUGGUGCUUAUAUUCUUUAACACAACUCCAAUUUAUUUGACCAACCGCAUAGACGGAUACACUCUACUUCCCUGUCUCUCUUCUCUGUCACUUUCUUUCACAGCUAACAAAAUUCUACAUCUCACCUCUCUCCCUCUCUUAGGCCUCAAAUUUGGUUCAUUCUUUUCUUCAUUUUGCUCUGUUCUAGCACUUGCUCUGCAGAAUUUUACGAAACAUCAACAAGGGAACUAAUAACAAUACAAGAAUUAUGAGCUCCAUCUUGCGGAAGGCUGGAACUACUUUCCUGCCUUCAUUCUAGCCACCCGAAAAUUCUAAAACUUUGACUCCACAUCUCCACUUCUUAAACAGGAUGAAAUCUAACAAACUUUGGUCUGAAAAUUCUAAACCUUUGACUCCACAUCUCCUCUAUUAUAGACUUUUAUUCAUCGAAACGUGUCACAAAACUUGUAANGUAGACUUUUAUUCAUCGAAACAUGUCACAAAACUUGUAACUCAAUCAAAUUUGUACUCAUAAAACCCCAGACACAGCUCAAAUCUAAAUCUAACAUUUCCCCUCACUGCCAUGACAAACCAAAAUCUCCGAUCCCUCGUUUCAUUGUUUCUUGUACUCUCUUUAACAGCGUCGACUCAUUCAACUUCUGUUACUACCUCUACUACAAUUCUACAACAAUUCAAACAAGCCCCGGAAUUCUACAACUCUCCGGAUUGCCCCUCCGUCCUAAAAUUUUACGAUACCCUGAUCCAUCAUCAAUUUCUACAAGCAGGUGCUACCACUCCUACUCGUUUACACGACAACACAACACAACUUUUUUAGAGACUUUUUAUCGAACACCUAAUACACAUUAUUCGAACACAAACAUAUGACACGAAAUCAAGUGCGNACCUCGUUUCAUUGUUUCUUGUACUCUCUUUAACAGCGUCGACUCAUUCAACUUCUGUUACUACCUCUACUACAAUUCUACAACAAUUCAAACAAGCCCCGGAAUUCUACAACUCUCCGGAUUGCCCCUCCGUCCUAAAAUUUUACGAUACCCUGAUCCAUCAUCAAUUUCUACAAGCAGGUGCUACCACUCCUACUCGUUUACACGACAACACAACACAACUUUUUUAGAGACUUUUUAUCGAACACCUAAUACACAUUACUCGAACACAAACAUAUGACACGAAAUCAAGUGCGAAAACAUACUUUCGAAAACGCAACUGCCCGAUAAACAGAUACAUUAACACAUAAAUCAGCUAGAUUAACAAAUAAUUCAUCUAAAUCAAUCUACAGAUUACACAAUUUAGCAAGAUUAAUGAAACAAAUUCAAAUGGAUCAAGUUCGAACCUGUAUGCUUAGAUUGAUUUAGGUUUGAAAAUCAUUGCAAAUGAUAAAAGGAAUCGUUGAGAUGCGUGGUUUGAAGAUUCUAGCUGCUUUCCAGAUUAAGGAUUAGCUGAGUGUAGAGAGGGGGAGAGGCAGAAAAGGAAGAGAGAGAUGUGAGGAAGAGAGAGAUGCGAGAAAGAGAGGCGAGAGAGAGAGGCGAGAGGCGGAGAGAGAGGCGAGGGAGAGCUGCGUGAGAGAGGUGGAGAGCUGCGUGAAUGGAAUGGGCUUAACCCGCGCUUUAAGAAAUGAUUGGAAUGAAUAAAAGAAUCGGUUUUCUUUGGGCGAACCAAACAGAAAAUUUUAUUUUUGGAAUGGAAUGGCACAUUCCAUUCUGGGCUAAACUGAUUCCAUUCUUUGGGCGAACCAAACAGAAAUUUUUAUUUUUGGAAUGGAAUGGACCAUUCCAUUCUGGGCUAAACUGAUUCCAUUCAUGCCAACCAAACAGAGUGUUAGAACCCUUACACUCCGUUUGGUUGGGAUGAAUGAAAUUUGCUAGGAAUGGAAUGAAAUUGAGAAUGGAAUGGUGGGAGAAUGGAAACAAGUUUGAAUGGAAUGAUCGAUUCAAGGUUCUUGUUUGGUUCAUUUUUUUAUGGUUGGAAUGGAAUGAACAAUUCCAUUCAUUUGAGUUGUUUGGUUACUCAAAGGAAUGGAAUGGUAAUUAAAUUUUUUUUUUAGCAAAUAUUUCCAUGUAAAACUUUAACUUUCAGAAUUUAUAUAUUACAUACACAAAUUAAUUAAUUUCAUAAUGCGUGGUUUGAAGAUUCUAGCUGCUUUCCAGAUUAAGGAUUAGCUGAGUGUAGAGAGGGGGAGAGGCAGAAAAGGAAGAGAGAGAUGUGAGGAAGAGAGAGAUGCGAGAAAGAGAGGCGAGAGAGAGAGGCGAGAGGCGGAGAGAGAGGCGAGGGAGAGCUGCGUGAGAGAGGUGGAGAGCUGCGUGAAUGGAAUGGGCUUAACCCGCGCUUUAAGAAAUGAUUGGAAUGAAUAAAAGAAUCGGUUUUCUUUGGGCGAACCAAACAGAAAAUUUUAUUUUUGGAAUGGAAUGGCACAUUCCAUUCUGGGCUAAACUGAUUCCAUUCUUUGGGCGAACCAAACAGAAAUUUUUAUUUUUGGAAUGGAAUGGACCAUUCCAUUCUGGGCUAAACUGAUUCCAUUCAUGCCAACCAAACAGAGUGUUAGAACUCUUACACUCCGUUUGGUUGGGAUGAAUGAAAUUUGCAAGGAAUGGAAUGAAAUUGAGAAUGGAAUGGUGGGAGAAUGGAAACAAGUUUGAAUGGAAUGAUCGAUUCAAGGUUCUUGUUUGGUUCAUUUUUUUAUGGUUGGAAUGGAAUGAACAAUUCCAUUCAUUUGAGUUGUUUGGUUACUCAAAGGAAUGGAAUGGUAAUUAAAUUUUUUUUUUAGCAAAUAUUUCCAUGUAAAACUUUAACUUUCAGAAUUUAUAUAUUACAUACACAAAUUAAUUAAUUUCAUAUCAAUAGCAUACUUCCCAUUUCAUUACACAAAUUAUUAGUAUAAAAUCAACUAUAAUAAAUAUUACAAAUUUACAAAUAAAAUCCAAACUUUGGCCACUAUCAAUUCUCCAUCAUAAUUUACAAAUAAAAUACAAAAUUUGGGAAGUGAAUAUGAGAACACCGGAGAACCGCAACACGUGCAGGCAUUAUUCCAUAAUGUAGAGUUAAACAGACAUCAUCUUCCAGUGGUGGAUCUUGGAGCAGGUCUAGUUAUCUCUCUAUCUGAGCAUACACAAAAUGGUAAGGGACAGGUUGAGGUUGAGGAUAUCCAGAUAAAGAGUGACUUGAUACAUAUACAUAGUUACCUGGAUAUGAU